CUAAUUUAAGAUGUUUAUGUAAACGCAAUCAAUGUUGAAGAAAAAACACUAGUGUGGACGAUAAUGUAUAUUGUUGGGCUUAAAACAUUCACUGCAGAAGGAAAAAGAAUUGAAGCAAAAAAGGUUUAAAAUAAAAGACUUGCCUCGUGUAUAAGAACAGUUGCAUCUCGAGAUGCUUCUAUUAGCUCUGGGCAGGGCCGUGUGUCACCAGAAUAUACAAUCUUCCAACCAGGUAUCACUUUUCCAACACUAUUAAUCCUUUCUUCUGCUUUUAGGACAACACCAUAUGACUGUGGACAAUGCACAACAGGAAAACUAAUCAAGGCACUGAGACCGGCUUCUUGGAUUACCCCCUUCAAUUUCCUUAGGAGGGGAUAAACUGCAUCUUUGUCAACAGGACUA
RNAcentral lists this long non-coding RNA (402 nucleotides) under Trifolium pratense (red clover). RNAcentral's name for it is "long non-coding RNA (TPRA_LNC003230)". Lineage: Eukaryota; Viridiplantae; Streptophyta; Magnoliopsida; Fabales; Fabaceae. The record is from RNAcentral.